AACACACCUCGAGAUGAGAUUUCCCAUUCCUUUAUGGAAGUAAGACCCCUGAAAGAUGAUCAGGUAGAUAGGUUAGAAGUGGCAGUGCGGUGACGCAUGAAGCGGACUAAUACUAAUCGGUCGAGGACUUAACCAAG
This 137-nucleotide ribosomal RNA is filed under the name Lactiplantibacillus plantarum. Its description in RNAcentral is "Lactobacillus plantarum partial 23S ribosomal RNA". It matches the Rfam family "Bacterial large subunit ribosomal RNA", at positions 2791 to 2925 of the family's 2925-position model. The record is from RNAcentral. Lineage: Bacteria; Bacillati; Bacillota; Bacilli; Lactobacillales; Lactobacillaceae.